UUUGAUUUUAUCUCUACAAAGAACAAACCCAGAUCACAUCAUAACAAUAAUGGAGAUUGAAAAUUUUUUAUUCUUUGAUCUGUUGAACGCAUGUACAUCCCCAUUGGGACCUUUGGUUUUUUAUCUAAAACGAAAAAACCAAGCCCCAAGAUCAAUAAAACCAGCUUCAGUUUCUUUUUUCUUUUUUUUCUUUUUUUUUAUUCUUACAAAAGUGAAAUGAUUUACUGGGG
Molecule: long non-coding RNA, 230 nt
Filed under: Gossypium barbadense (sea-island cotton)
Lineage: Eukaryota; Viridiplantae; Streptophyta; Magnoliopsida; Malvales; Malvaceae
Description: long non-coding RNA (GBAR_LNC017752)
Source: RNAcentral